ACUUCCUAAGCCGGAACGAAAAGUCUCUUUGUAGCGAUACACUGAAGCUUUUGGCUUUGUGGUUGUGAUGUUGUGUUUGCAAGUUGUCUGGGAAACCAGGCUUUGUAGCAUAAGCUACUGUUUUUUCACUUCCUGUACAUUUACCCUGUCUGUCCAUAGUGAUUUUUUAUUGCACCGCAAUUGCGGUGCUUUUUUUC
This 197-nucleotide non-coding RNA is filed under the name Xenorhabdus thuongxuanensis. RNAcentral describes it as "GcvB". It matches the Rfam family "GcvB RNA". From Rfam's summary of the family: The gcvB gene encodes a small untranslated RNA involved in expression of the dipeptide and oligopeptide transport systems in Escherichia coli. Included several unknown homologues in alignment (Bateman A pers obs). Lineage: Bacteria; Pseudomonadati; Pseudomonadota; Gammaproteobacteria; Enterobacterales; Morganellaceae. The record is from RNAcentral.